Molecule: ribosomal RNA, 292 nt
Filed under: uncultured bacterium
Lineage: Bacteria
Description: partial 16S ribosomal RNA
Rfam family: Bacterial small subunit ribosomal RNA
Source: RNAcentral
GUGCCAGCAGCCGCGGUAAGACGAGUGGUCCUAGCGUUAGUCGGAAUCACUGGGCUUAAAGGGUGCGUAGGCGGGCCAGUAAGUGCCUUGUGAAAGCCCCCGGCUCAACCGGGGAACCGCAGGGCAUACUGCUGGUCUUGAGGAAGCUAGAGGCUGGUGGAACGAUAGGUGGAGCGGUGGAAUGCGUAGAGAUCUAUCGGAACGCCGAUGGUGAAGACAGCCAGCUGGGGCUUUCCUGACGCUGAGGCACGAAAGCGUGGGGAGCAAACAGGAUUAGAUACCCUGGUAGUCC